RNAcentral lists this unclassified non-coding RNA (1734 nucleotides) under Hevea brasiliensis (rubber tree). The record is from RNAcentral. Lineage: Eukaryota; Viridiplantae; Streptophyta; Magnoliopsida; Malpighiales; Euphorbiaceae.
AUACAAUAUAGUUACAUUGUAGGGAAGGAGAUUACCACAUUUCAUGGACAGAAUAAUACCAUCUACUCCAUGAAAAUUUUCACGAGUUAAUCAUGCAAUGCCAGUGAAAUUUAUUAAAAGUUCUGCAAACUUUUAUUCCUUUACAAGCCAUAAUAUGCAUAACUAUGGAAACAAUUUAACAUUGGCUAGCAUUAGUAGCCCUAUCCAAGUACAAGAAAGAAGAUACAAGGUACUUAUACGUCAUUUGACAAAUUAAGAUAAGACUUACUUCCAUAGGUCCUCCACACAUUAACAAUGACAAGGAGUUCAUAGCAUCCAUAUCAACAUCAGGAUUGAUUAACUUCUUUCAGCCUUAGUCUUGAAACCAUGUGCUCUAACUUCUGCAAGGAAAAACAAACGAAUCUUAUGUAUGUGAUUAAAUUAACUUUCCAAUUGGAAAACUGGAUGACAUUUAAUUUCUUAUAUGAAAAUAUAGACCUAAAUGUUUACACGAUUUAGUUUACCAAACUGACCAGUGGCAGAAUUCCAGAAAACAAAGGAUAUAUAGCGUGAACAUUUGCAUUUGAAAAGUUGCUCAAUGUCUUGACUAAUUGAAGACAGUGUCCAUUAUUUUUCCCACAUCAUCUUCUUUGUUAUUAUCCAGUGAGAGGCUGACAGAAUGUUGUUGUAGGACAAUAUCAAAUAAUUAACCCCCACCCUAUUCAAUACAAAUGAAAACAUGCUGAAGUCUGCAAAACAUAUAUAUUUUCUUUUAUCUAACUUUCACAAAAAAUAGGUCAACCUAUCAUCAACCAUAUAAAACCAUAUAAGCUAUAAUUCCUACCAAGGAAUGAUUCAGUUUUCCUAGUGCACAACAAAAUAGCAUACCAUGCACUCAUAUGCGUGCGGGAACCAUCUGAAAAUUGUGGAAGACAGAUUCCACAUUCAUGUGAGAGCAGAUGCACUAUUUCCCAAUAUGCCUGGAGUAAUGAAUGAUAUUCUCUUCCAGGAAACUUUCAAUCGCAUAACUGCUUUAAUUAUGCAAGCAUAAUGCAACUAGUGCUAUGAACAGAUACUUCUCAUAAAGGUCAGUUUUGACCUUUGGUUGCUAAACACAAGAUUUGGAUGCUGCUACUAUCAUUCAUAUUUCAGCGUAAUUUUGGCAACAAAAUCGAAAAGACAAAUGAAUUUAUGAUUCCUUUGUAAUCAAUCGGCAUUAAAGUCAACAAACCUGCUCAGUAUGUGGCAAAUACUUCCCAUCAAAUGUCAAAACAACACGAUCUUUUCCAUCCACACCUUUCACUUUAUCAACAGAGCAGUAGAAAUCUAUGGCUGACAUAAUGCCAUCACCAAACUCCUCAUUAAUAAUUUCCUUGAUGCUUUCACCAAAAUGCAAAACCGCUUCAUUCAACCUGUAAACGGUCGGUUCUUGGAUCAGGUCGGGGCGGUAAGACCUCAUGGGUGGUUUAGUCAUCUCGUCAAGCAGAGAGUCAGUGAGUUCAGGCAGCGCAGCUCGUAGUUUUGAGGAGGUAUCUGGUUUGAGUUGGGCCUGGCGUCUUAACAACUGAGCAACGUAGACAUUGGUGAGGCCAGUCUCCUCCGCAAUCUGAGUGUAGGUCUUGGCGGACCUCUUUUUCACAUCCAACAGGCGGUUGGAUAUUUCCGAUCUGGUCUCUAUCGUUUCAGGAGUGAACGUCUUUGACAUAUUUCCUCUCUUCUAUCUCUAUGGUCGAGUCACUGAAAAACAAUGCUGAU